Acipenser ruthenus (sterlet) is the source of this 538-nucleotide long non-coding RNA. RefSeq lists it as uncharacterized. The transcript has 3 exons. Lineage: Eukaryota; Metazoa; Chordata; Actinopteri; Acipenseriformes; Acipenseridae. The record is from RefSeq and is a predicted model, not a curated record.
AGGCCAGAACUGAAGAGUAUUGUGUGUGUGUUCCAGUGAUACAUUCACACAACUAAAGAGCCACUAAAACCACACGCUGUGCUCUUCGUGCGCCUGACACAUCUGCUGAUCACUAACUUAUACAAAAGCUGGGCAACAGACAUAUGUAGACCCUGCAACUGGUUAUCUGGUGUUUACCUAACAUGCCGACCUUCAGAGAGGGAAAUGUUGUGGUUUUGCAUCCAGACUGUCCAUAUGGACAAGUCAAUGUGAAGGACCCAGCCAAAAAGAAGCAUUUUAAUUAGCUCUUUUACAUAUGACGAAGGAGUUACAUCUGAACUGAAUGCUUUCCACAUCUUACAACAAUAGAAGAAACAGUGAAGAAACCUGAAAUAAAGAUAAAUGACAAACACUUUUAAAUUAAUUGUCACACUAUAAUAGUACUUAAUCAAAAGAUUAAGCUGUGAUUUACAGUGCACAUUUCUUGAACACCCAAAAGUCAAAUACAUUUACAUUCAUUACAAAAGCUGUGUUAUAAAUAAAUGCAAUUGACUCUGCA